CCUACGGGUGGCAGCAGUGGGGAAUAUUGGUCAAUGGGCGCAAGCCUGAACCAGCGACGUCGCGUGAAGGAUGAAUGCCCUCCGAGUUGUAACCUUCGUUUGUACAGAAGUAAAGUGAGUCACGUGUGCAUUUUUGUAUGUACUUUAUCAAUAAGGCACGCCUAACUCCGUGCCGGCCGCCGCGGUAAUACGGAUGAUCCGAGCGUUAUCCGGAUUUAUUGGGUGUAAAGGGAGCGUAGAUGGGUGGUUAAGUCAGUGGGGAAAGGUUGAGGCUCAACCGUAAAAUUGCAAUGGAGACGGGCAGUCGGGAGUACAGGUGAGGGAGGCGGAAUUCGUGGUGUAGCGGUGAAAUGCGUAGAUAUCACGAAGAACUUCGAUGGCGAAGGCAGCUUACUAAACUGCCACUGACAUUGAUGCUCGAAAGUGUGGGUAGCAAACAGGAUUAGAUACCCCUGUAGUC
RNAcentral lists this ribosomal RNA (460 nucleotides) under uncultured bacterium. RNAcentral's name for it is "partial 16S ribosomal RNA". It matches the Rfam family "Bacterial small subunit ribosomal RNA", at positions 338 to 795 of the family's 1533-position model. The record is from RNAcentral.